UACGUAGGGACCAAGCGUUGUUCGGAUUUACUGGGCGUAAAGGGCGCGUAGGCGGCGUGACAAGUCACUUGUGAAAUCUCUGAGCUUAACUCGGAACGGUCAAGUGAUACUGUUGUGCUAGAGUACAGAAAGGGCAAUCGGAAUUCUUGGUGUAGCGGUGAAAUGCGUAGAUAUCAAGAGGAACACCUGAGGCGAAGGCGGGUUGCUAGGCUGAUACUGACGCUGAGGCGCGAAAGCUAGGGUAGCAAACGGG
RNAcentral lists this ribosomal RNA (253 nucleotides) under uncultured bacterium. RNAcentral describes it as "partial 16S ribosomal RNA". It matches the Rfam family "Bacterial small subunit ribosomal RNA", at positions 524 to 776 of the family's 1533-position model. The record is from RNAcentral.